Long non-coding RNA from Cucumis melo (muskmelon), 1728 nucleotides. RefSeq lists it as uncharacterized. The record is from RefSeq and is a predicted model, not a curated record. The transcript is spliced from 4 exons. Lineage: Eukaryota; Viridiplantae; Streptophyta; Magnoliopsida; Cucurbitales; Cucurbitaceae.
UGUUUCUUGGAAUACAAGCUAAUAUGUUUACCACUUAAAUUCCAUGUUCUUGAAUGGAGAAAGAGGGUUUAAAUGAAGUUUAUGUUGAUCGAGCUAAAAUGUGGAAGAAAGCUCGAGUUAACAAACAAGGACAAUGUGACAACGACGACAUUCAGCAAGUCGUCCAUAAAAUAGAUGAGAUAUCAAUGAAUACAGAUUCAUCGUCUGUGAAUAGACACUAUUCAAAUGAUGUGUUAACUCAAGCAUUGGGUACAAAAGAGCACAAUGGUCGUGUGCGUGGGGUUGGUGGAUACGUUACUCCAACAACUUACUUUCAUUCAGUUAAGAAAACAUCAAAAGAUGAGACGAAAAUUCUAGUUGAGAAUGAAGAACUUCGUAGGUGAGUUAGUGAAUUAGAGGCACAAAUUUUCUCAAACUUGUCUACAUCAUUGUCUGCACACGGGAGUUGUUCAAGGCCAAUAAUGUUGGAAGGGAUUGAAGAGAAGGGUAAGACAAUAGAAGUGGAAUCGUUGGACAAACCAAAAGAGAAUUAAAAGAAAGGGAAGGAGGUGAUGAAGAUGAAUGAACCAGAGUUGGACGUCUUGAAGGUAUGUAAUCCACUAUUAAACUGGAAUGUCUAAUAUUGUACAUCUUACUGAAAGUGGAUGUUCUUGAAUUAGGAGACGGACUUAAUAAAAAUGCCUACAGAAAAAGAAGUUGUAUGUGAAUCGACAUCAACUUUGCCAUUAACGUUGAAGUCGAUUCUCAGAUAUGCUGAGAAGGUAAUGGAGAAAGAUUCCAGCAUCACUUUCUCACUACCCACUGACCUUUUUGGCAUUAGUCGAAAGAGUUCUGUGCUUCGAGAGGAUAUCAUUAAUCUUUGUAACAUGAACGAAGUUAAAACGUUUACAUUUGUGGCCUAUAUGAUGUAAGUCAAUUUCAUUCCUUUGCAUCUAAAUUUAUGUAUCUCCUUUACAAGUUUAUAUAUUUUGUAGGUGCUUGUAUUCAUCUGUUCUUGGUUCGAAAGAAAAUGUGCAGUAUGUCUUCGUAGAUCCGUCCCUAAUCUCUUCAGGAAACACACAAGAAUCUUGAAUUUGAAACUUGUCUAGUAGAUUGAUGGUGUCAAAAGCAAACCAAGUAGUUCUUGCUCCUUUUAAUCUAGGGGUCAUUGGGCACUGCUCGCCAUAAAUGCGUGUGAGGAGACAAUGUUUUACCUUGACUCACUAAGGAGGACAUCAAAAGCAACUACAAGAUAUGUAACCAACACUGUCCACUACAAGUCGGGAGCACUGCGUGUGGAUACUAUGUCAUGAAGCAUAUGAGAGAAAUUGUAAAUAGGGGAAGCAUUGUCAUCUCCAAUUCGAUAUGUUAUAUAUCAAACUAUUUUUUUUUUGUGGGUAUAAUAAAUUUCAUGAAUACUAAUUCAUUUUUUUUCAUGUCUACAGAUUGAUACACGAAAACCAUACUCACAAGCCGAGUUCGAUGAGGUGCGGGUUGAGUUGGUUGAGUUUUUGGGUUCGUACAUAUGAUUUAUGACUUAUUUGUCAUCUCUGAACAGGAAACUUUAUUUUUUGUGGUUGAUUUUUUGAAAUAUUCAUAGAGAGGGGGAGGGGGUUGAUUGUUGUACUUUUGAGAAUUUGUUGAGGUUUAGAGUUUGGGUGAAUUGUUGAUAGGUGAACUGUUUAUAUCUAGGGGUUGCCGUUACGAAACUUUAUGUAUUGGGGAUGAUAUACUUUUGGGCUAGGUUAG